Molecule: non-coding RNA, 296 nt
Filed under: Mucor lusitanicus
Lineage: Eukaryota; Fungi; Mucoromycota; Mucoromycetes; Mucorales; Mucoraceae
Source: RNAcentral
AUAAAUCUUAGGAGUUAAAAUAGUUAACCAAAUAUUAUUUUUGGAGGAAAGUCCGGGGCUUAAAAUUUAAUAAAUCAUAAUGUAAAACAUCUAAUGAGAAUUAGGGCAAUAUAAAGAAAUAUACUAAUAAAGCGGAUAUUCCGCUAAAUAGUAGAAUAAUUUAACCUAUGAGAAGCCAGGGUAUGAAAGCCCUAGGUUGAAGGCGCAACCUUCAGCCUUUUAUUUAAUACAAUAAUAUUAAAUACAGAUACAUUAACUUAAUAACAAAAUCCGGCUUAUUUAUCUCUAAGAUUUAU